This 612-nucleotide ribosomal RNA is filed under the name uncultured bacterium. RNAcentral's name for it is "bacterial SSU rRNA". It matches the Rfam family "Bacterial small subunit ribosomal RNA", at positions 105 to 735 of the family's 1533-position model. The record is from RNAcentral.
GGUGAGUAACGCGUGGGUAACCUGCCUUAUACAGGGGGAUAACAGUUGGAAACGACUGCUAAUACCGCAUAAGCGCACGGUAUCGCAUGAUACAGUGUGAAAAACUCCGGUGGUAUACGAUGGACCCGCGUCUGAUUAGCUUGUUGGUGAGGUAACGGCUCACCAAGGCGACGAUCAGUAGCCGGCCUGAGAGGGUGAACGGCCACAUUGGGACUGAGACACGGCCCAAACUCCUACGGGAGGCAGCAGUGGGGAAUAUUGCACAAUGGGGGAAACCCUGAUGCAGCGACGCCGCGUGAGUGAUGAAGUAUUUCGGUAUGUAAAACUCUAUCAGCAGGGAAGAUAAUGACGGUACCUGACUAAGAAGCACCGGCUAAAUACGUGCCAGCAGCCGCGGUAAUACGUAUGGUGCAAGCGUUAUCCGGAUUUACUGGGUGUAAAGGGUGCGUAGGUGGUAUGGCAAGUCAGAAGUGAAAGGCUGGGGCUCAACCCCGGGACUGCUUUUGAAACUGUCAAACUAGAGUACAGGAGAGGAAAGCGGAAUUCCUAGUGUAGCGGUGAAAUGCGUAGAUAUUAGGAGGAACACCAGUGGCGAAGGCGGCUUUCUGGACU